UCUUGUCCAGAUGACCCCAAAUCCAUGGGGUGACUUCCCAAGGUGAGGUUACCCAUCCCAAAAUCCAUGGGGUGACCUCCCAGGUGAGGCUACCCAUUUCUUUAAGGGUUCCUUCUCCUCCAGAUGACCCCAAAUCCACGAGGUGACUUCCCAGGUGAAGUUACCCAUCCCAAAAUCCAUGGCGUGACUUCCCAGGUAAGGUUGCCACCUCUCCAAGGGUCUCCUCAUCCUCCAGAUGACCCCAAAUCCAUGGAGAGACCUCCCAGGUGCUGUUACACCUCCUAAAAUCCUUGAGGUGACCUCCCAGGUGAGGUUACCCAUUUCCCAAAAGGUUCCUUCUCCUCCAUAGGACCUCAAAUCCAUGGGGUGACCUCCCAGAUGGG
Molecule: long non-coding RNA, 383 nt
Organism: Melozone crissalis (California towhee)
Lineage: Eukaryota; Metazoa; Chordata; Aves; Passeriformes; Passerellidae
Exons: 3
Source: RefSeq, a predicted model, not a curated record